Molecule: long non-coding RNA, 614 nt
Filed under: Prunus dulcis (almond)
Lineage: Eukaryota; Viridiplantae; Streptophyta; Magnoliopsida; Rosales; Rosaceae
Description: sRNA ncRNA
Source: RNAcentral
CUCUGAUACCAACUGUUAGAUUUCUUUAAUAUACAUGUUCAAAAUCUUCACACAAUCUGAAAUACGUAAAGACAUACCUGGUGCCAUCUUACUUAAGUAUACGACCUCUGACAUACCUGGUGCCAUCUUUCUUUGUGUUGUUGUUCUCAAUUAUUCAAGCUCUGCAAAGCAAGGCUAAUCCCAAAAGGUGGGGCUGGACGGGGAACCCAUUCCCCAUUAAAGGUGGGGAUGGAGAAUCCCCAAUAUGAAUAUUGGCCGAAUUGCAGAGUUAUAAUGGGGCCAUAGAUUUGAGAAAGCUUGGUGAGAGAGAGAUGGGGUUUGUUGCCAAGCUCUAGAAGAUUGCCAAUGAAGGGAAAUGGCUUUGGUCCAGGUGGGAGAAGAUGCCUUUAGGGAUUGGCUUUGCUUUGCAGAGCUUGAAUAAUUGCGAACAACAACACAAAGAAAAGGUUUAGCAGGACGAUACAAAAACUCAAGAAAUUCCUUCUCUCUCUGGUUCUAAUUGCACAAAAGUUGUUAAAUUGAACUACUAUAAUUUGAAUAAAUCGAGGUUCUGGUCUAAAAAUUUCCACAUAAUUAAAAUCAUUUAACUUUAAAUUCUAUAAUCAAAAUAGUUU